UAUAGUCGCAAGAUCGAAACUUAAAGGAAUUGGCGGGGAGACAUACAACGAGUGACGCGUGCGGUUCAAUUAGAUUUUACACCGUGAACCUCACCAGGAGCGACAGCAGGAUGAAGGUCAGUCUGAAGGGCUUACCUGACACGCUGAGCGGAGAAGCAUGGCCGACGUCAGCCUGUGCAGUGAUGUGACCUGUUAAAUCAGGUAACAGGCGAGACCCGUGUCGAUAAUUACUACAGAAAUGGGUACCUUAUCGAGACUGCCUUGGUAACAAGGAGGAAGGUGCGGGCUACGUUAGGUGAGUACAUCCCUAAUCCCCUGGGCUACACGCGCGCGGCAAUGGUAUGUUCAAAUGGAUGCGACUCCGAAAGGAGAAGCUAAUCCCCUAACGCAUAUCUCAGUCCAGAUCGAGGGUUGCAACCCACCCUCGUAACGUUGGAAUUCGUAGUAAUCGGAUAUUAGCACUGUCCGGUGAAUAAGUCCCUGUCUCUUGCACACACCGCCCGUCAAACCAACCGAGUUAUGUAGGGAUGAAGCUCAUAAGAGAAAAAUCUUUUCAUGACAAGGUAGGUUAAGUCGUCACAAGGUAUCUGUAGGGGAACCUGCAGAUG
Molecule: ribosomal RNA, 608 nt
Filed under: marine metagenome
Description: bacterial SSU rRNA
Rfam family: Archaeal small subunit ribosomal RNA
Source: RNAcentral